CAGCACAUUGCCCAGUCACGAGCAGACCCAACAGGGCUUUCAGCCAAUUAAAGUUAAGUUCAUACAUUUCAUAUCCAAUCACGGGUACCAUUGAGGAGUCGUACUGCUCACAGCUCGCUGUGACUUCUGGGACCUACCGUUGCGCUGGAACGCACACAAUUGAGCCAACGUACCAGUUUAAAUAUCCAUUUUGAGCUUUCAUUGCAGUUCGUCUGAGCAGUUCUUAGGACCUGGGUUCAAAUCCGGCAUGACCUGUGUGUUUGUUCUCCCUGUGCCGACGUGGGUGUUCUUCGGCCACUCUGGUUUCUUUCCUCAUCUCCAAAACAUGCAUGGCGAAAGUCGCACUUGCACUUUCAUAUUUCCCAUCAUCUUUAAACUAUGUCAGCUGUAUCUGAAAAGAUGGCAGUGAGCUUUUCACAGCUGCUGCCUCCAUGGAAGAGCCCAAAUGCACACUCUUAUCUCCAACAUUGUCAUUUAGUCCAUGCGAGUUUUGUUUUUUGAUUCUUUUAUGUUAAACAAAAAGCUCCAAACCUCAGGUUAUUGGUUGUUUUUUUGGAUACCCUGUGCAAACAUAAUUUGCAUGCUUUGUGUUGAUGAAAUGUCAUAAAUUUCUGAUCUGGAAAGUUCUCUAAAGUUCUGGUCAUUUUAUUGAAUUUAAAAAAAAAAUGAAAUGACUUACUUUAUAUUCGUGAAACAGCAUUUACCUACUUGUGAUGCUGUGACCAACAACUCUCAUGACUUCCCUGACUGCCCUUUCGUGUACUGACAUUGAACAUGAUGUCACAUAAUUGCCAAACCAGCGAGGCCAAAUCAACAGCAAUUCCAACUCUCCACUAGUGACAAUACCCCCCUCAAGUACUCUGUUAAAGGAAAUCCAGGUUGACGGGAUUAGGAGCGAACUUGUGUCAGUCCGUGAAUGAUGCUGCCAAUACUCCAAGGGGCUGGCCAAGGUUCUGGCAUGUAACUAAAUUGUCUCAACUACAUGAACUUCUUCCCCAGUUGGAAUUGUAAAAAGAGUAGUGCUGUCUUGUCUCACAAAGGAACUAAAUUUUGUUUCUUGCUGUUAUUUUGAAAUGCAGCCCUUCUUUUAUUUAAUAAAUGAGAGAACAUUUCAUAGUUGUACAGACACUGUAUAUUUGAUAAGAAGGACAGAAUUCGCAAUGUAUGUAGAAAUAUAUACAAUGCUCUCAUAAAAUUAUAUCAGUAUAAUAAAAAAAAAAACACAUCCAUGAUACUAACAUUUAUCUUGAAAUUUUGGGGAAAGUAUAUUUUUCUUAAAAAAAAUUGCUAUCGUGUUAUUCCUAAACACAUAAUAUAUUGAUAAAGCGUGAGACCAAAGGAUUAAUAUUAAAGAUUAUAGAAUAACAGCUCUGAUAAAUAGCUGCAGCAUUGUGAAAUCGUGAAGGAAGAACCGCUAUGUAGGGUAGGAUUCCUGUAUCUGUAUUCUGUGAUCAUAAAUUGGAGGGACUGAUUGUUUCCAUGACGUGCAUCCUCGGACUCAAAUAGUCUCAAGUGUAAAAUGAUGCGGUUUAACACACCCUACACCCCAGAAUAAUCAGUCAGUAUAAUGUUUAGAGCUAUCCUAUAAUUGGGCCUUUGCUGAGUUAGAACAGUCGGGAAACAUAUUCUACUGUAACAUCUUUCUAAAGUAAAAUAAAAUGUAAUCUGGACGUGUCUGGAUCUCUCGGGUUGGUACUAAAACCGAGUGGCUAUUGGACACAUUAUUCAGUAGGACUGAAUGAAUGUAAACUGGUUCUGAUUCUGAUGAGGCAUCAAUGUUGCUUAUGUCCAAAUGGUAAAAAUUUUCAUUUUUAUUGAACUGUAUCAUUUUAUAUUUUGCUUAUUAGCAUUUCAUUUCUCCAUAUUCAUUUUACCCCUAGCAAGCACAUUCAUAAGUGGUUUCAAAUGAUCUGUCCAAUUUGAAGAACGCCAAACAACAUUGCAGAGUGGUUGUAAGAAGCUGUCCUGUCUUUGUAUAUUAAUUAGUGGGACAGAACAUUGAAACAAAGUGCAUUUAAUGCACAUUUCAUGUAGAGGAUGUGUUAAAUGCAUUAGCUCCUGAAAAUAAGAUACUUUAAACCAAAUUGCUGCUGUUUAGAAGUACUAUGAUGAUUUUUUA
This is a long non-coding RNA of Syngnathoides biaculeatus (alligator pipefish), 2119 nucleotides long. RefSeq lists it as uncharacterized. The record is from RefSeq and is a predicted model, not a curated record. NCBI's taxonomy places the organism in Eukaryota, Metazoa, Chordata, Actinopteri, Syngnathiformes, Syngnathidae. The transcript is spliced from 4 exons.